GGUGGGGCAGGAACGUGCCCGGGAUUGUGCGUUCUGGCGUGUGCCGUGGCCACGGCCCUCCGAUGCCCAGCGCUUGGACUGGGAAGGAGGGGAGUAGGAAGUCGGGUGCAGCGGGGCGAAGGGCUCUGCUGGGAGGAGGGGAGACAAAGAGGCAGGAUGGGUUUGAGGGGAGAAUCCCAGCUUACCGAGAUGGACUGCGCCUCUUGAAUGCAUUCGUCCAUUUAAGCAUUCCAAACUUUAUGAAUAUUUGUUCGCUGAGAGGCCUUCGAUUGCAGGAAAGACUGGAAAAGUGCUUGUCCUUAAGAAACUCCCAAACUGUCCCUGGUGGAGAACUGAAUAUAAAAGAACAAGAUCUGCGCUGCGAAGGAGGUCUCUGGAAGCAGGAGCUUCUCUGGGGCUCCAGUUCUUGCUAGCCAGGCCACCACGGUUCUAGUUCUCACCAAGUGAUCCAGGUAUCUGAGCUCAGUGAGAAAGCUGGCUUCCAAAAUCAGCAUGUAUACCAACCACAGCAGGUGGCAAGAGAAAAAAAAACAGCCUUGCAGAGGACCUUGCAAAUCUCAUAGCAAGAGGCAUUCUUGCAACAUCUCUGUCUGGGACUUGAACUUGACCAGGUUCCCACUGAAUGUUGAAGACUGCUAUUUGUGGCCACUGGCUGAAAUCCUCAUCUAGUUACUGAUGUAGGAGCACAAGCUAGCUGAAUGUGGGGUGAGGGAAGGCCAUUAUUUUGUUAUAUGUAACAAGGAAAUGCACUCAAGAUGUUAAAUUUGAAGAAUCACAUGUGCUAACAGUGUCAACUUAGGUGCUUUAUUUUCUGCAGAAGUAGAACUCUAUUUAAAUUCAGCUUCCUGGAAAAUCAGAAUAGUUGGAUAAUAUCCAUCUCCCAAAGCUAAAUUUUCAUAGUGAUCCAGUGGUUCAAAUGAGAAGUUACAGACAUAGAUGCUGUGAAAACAGGCAGUACCUGUUGGAGAACCACCUUCAGACAAUGUGGUACAACCUUCCUCCAGGAUGGAUAUAUAUAGUUAGGCUAGGUUCUCAUCUCUCCAGCCAGCUAUGGCUGCCAUAUUCCUUUUCAUUAGAGUAAAGCCAGGCUUCACUCCACAGCCUCCUUUCCCACAAAUCCUUAUAGAGGGCCUACUACAUAUAUGA
Molecule: non-coding RNA, 1146 nt
Organism: Kogia breviceps (pygmy sperm whale)
Lineage: Eukaryota; Metazoa; Chordata; Mammalia; Artiodactyla; Physeteridae
Source: RefSeq, a predicted model, not a curated record